Molecule: RNA transcript, 5857 nt
Organism: Brachypodium distachyon (stiff brome)
Lineage: Eukaryota; Viridiplantae; Streptophyta; Magnoliopsida; Poales; Poaceae
Gene name: putative leucine-rich repeat receptor-like serine/threonine-protein kinase At2g24130
Exons: 4
Source: RefSeq, a predicted model, not a curated record
UCUCCGGGUCUCCCCUACCUUUCGGCUUUCGCCCGCCAUUCCAGCCUCUCAAGUAGGCGAAGUAUCCGGUGAAAGAAAAGAAAAGAAAUCCAACAUGACGAUGGCGAGACAGGCGACAGCCGCGCCGGCGGCGCCAUCGGAACGCACCAACUGACUCGAUCCGUGGCCCUCUGCCCCUCUCCUUGGAUUUGGGAUCUCCCGGUUGCCUGCCACCGGGCGGGCACCCGCGCGCCCACCACCUGCUCGCGCAAAUGCGCAGACAGUCCGGCAGGGGCACCACCUGUUGAUCCAGACGCGGCCGGUUACCUCCCGAGUACAGUACUGCUUAAGGGAAUAACGGCAGUAUGCUCUUUCUGAUGAAGUCGACAGCACAUACUGAAGCUCAUUCGCGAGGUGAUGGCUACGGAUCACUUCCAUUAAGGUCAGAAUUAGGAUAGAUGCACUGCAUUUUCUCAAGGUAUGCUCAAAACAAAACAGAGGGUCUUCUCAAUGCAGUAGUCUAGAUUCCUUGAGAUAUUGCUAAUAUUCAAGAGGCUUCAUUGUAUUAGGAGAAGAAGUGCCCUGCCGGUACCUAUUUACCGUCUGGCAUGAACAUAAAAGCUAUUCAGAAACCAGUACUUUCUUGAGAAAAAAGGGAAAAUUCAGAAUCCAGUACUUCCGUUAAUUAUCUUUGUCCGCUACUUUAGAUGUGAACGGUGUGGAACAACCAGAACAAAGCACAAACAACUAAUGCAAUCUGCAUGGCAACCGGCAUAUCUUUGAAGGUGGAAUAGUGCCAGAAAUCCACUAACUUGUACUGAACAUCUUUUUGUUUCAGAGAGAAACAGUAGAGGGCAAAUGAAACAUCUCAAGAUUUAGUUAAAAGGGCAGUCAUCAUGUACCUAGCAAAUCAUUUAAUAACAACCUUAGACAUGUAGGCUGAUCAUCCUAUCCAGCUUCACAAACUCAAAGUGGGAGUCAUUCUUUGACAUUUCAUAAUUACCUAUGCAUAAACAAGGUUUCGUAGAUCAAGCUUUCUGGCCCACCCCUCGUGCAUAGCAGCAUAGGUCACACUCGUAGGCUGAAAUGUAUAUUAACUAUCUCAAAUUGCAACAUUGCACCAUGGGGCCAAACCGCUGAAAAGCUUAUACGUGAAUCACAUUUUGGUGCAUUGUGAAAUUCAGUGGGAUUCUAGAGAGCGUGCGUGUUUGGCGACAAAUGCCCCCCAUAAAUACCAUGAAUACCUUGCCAAGUCUCUGGUGGUAACAUGAAUUAGGUACCCUUUAUCUAUUUUGGUUUGCCGAUCCUCAUUCUUGAUUCUCCAUCUGAAGGUAAUAGAGUAAGUAGUUGCAUAUUUUAGAAAUUGUGUGCAACUUUAGGUCUAGAAAUAUGCAAAAAAAAGGGGGUAUGUUUUUAGCCCAAAUCUACUCUACCAAUUUUUAGUCAUGAGUUUUUUUGUAUUUGUUUGAUGUUUGCAUGCCAAUGCUCCUGAUCUCACUCUAUUCAAUUUUUAUUUUGGCAACAUUGGCUUCUCAUGGGAGUAGCAAAACUUUGAGCAGUUUUUGGUUGGGAACCUUAGGAUCAAAUCAAACAUACUCGAAAUGAGCAAUCAGACGAGUUGCAUAAUUCUGAAUUGAACUUUAAGCUUCAUGCAUGUCGUGCAACUUUGUCAAACUCCAUCUAAUCUAUAAAAAGUGUCGCCCAUUUUGUAGCGAGGGCCUACUUGGUAGGCCAAAAGUUACACAUAAUGUAUGUUUUGCGCAACUGUUUGCUUGAUGUUUUUGUGCAAAUUGUUCGAUUUAGAAACUACAUUUUUUUUUCUAUCUAACUUAUAAACACCAAUUCAAUCCUCACAAAUUAUGUUGGCCUGUUGGCGCGAGUGCGGCAUGCACGUCCAGGAGAAAUCUGCAGCCAUAUAUACGGAUAUACCCAUUAAUCGCCCGUCCAGCAAUCUCGUGCGCUGCAUGUGCUCGGCCGAGCCCACCGCGCGUGCAAGUGCAACCUGCCGAGCCAUCUCCAGUCGCUUUCCCCUGUGCCCCUAGCUUCUUGCGCCCACUCAUCAUCGUGCACAACCAAAGCGAACGGGUAGGCCGCGCUAGGUGCGUCCCGCAAUCAUAGCCGCCGUCGCAGAAACACUCCCGUCCGCGCACCCUCCACUAGCUAGCUAGUCGCGGCCGGGGGCCAUGCCAUUGCCGCCCCGGCCCUCUCGAUGUCACCUCAUUCUCCAUCCAUCCAUCUAUUCAUAAUCCCCAUCUUUAUUUUCUGCCGCUCUACAGCUUUAGCACCGAUCUCUGGUAGACCGGAGAUGCUACUGCUAUGUAGUACCAGUAGCGUUAGCUAGCUGCUAGCGCUAAGCUACUGCCGACAGAGUCCAUUGCUAGCUAGCCAGGUACUUCAUGCCUAGUAAAGGAUGAGGGCUCCCAUGGCCGUCAAGCGUGCGGCCAUUCUCCACCUCCUCCUCCACCUCGUGUUCUUCCAUGUUGCGGCUUUGGCGGGCAAGCGGCCGAUUGCAAUGGUCCGGCGGCGGCAGGGGCAGCACCUGCUGCAGGAGAAGGCCACGCUCCUGGAAUUGAAACGCUCGCUCACCUUGCUGUCGCCGUCGGCGCCCCUGCUGGCCGACUGGAACGAGUCCAACCCUGACUCGUGCGGCUUCACCCGCGUCACCUGCGACUGGAGGCGGCAGCACGUCACCAAGCUUGCGCUAAACGAUAUGAACAUCUCCGGCACCAUCCCACCGCUGAUCGCCAACCUCACACGCCUCAGGAGCCUCGACAUGUCCAGCAACUUCCUGACGGGGCAGAUCCCAGCCGAGCUCUCCAACCUCCGCUGGCUCGGCGUCCUCAACCUCGGCCGGAACCAGCUUAGUGGCGGCAUACCGCCAUCGCUAUCUGCGCUGGCGAACUUGUUCUACCUCAGACUCAGGGAGAACCGCCUCUCAGGCCCUAUCCCUGCUGCGAUCUUCAAGAACUGCACCGACCUGGGUCUCGUCGACUUCGCCAACAACAACCUCUCCGGCGAGAUCCCCCGUGACACUGACACCUCGGGUGACUUCUGCGCCUACUCAGUUUUCGUCCUUAACCUCUUCUCCAACAGGCUAACCGGGAAGCUCCCACGGUGGCUCGCCAACUGCACGUACCUUUACCUGUUGGACGUGGAGAACAAUAGGCUCGCCGACGAGCUCCCCACUAACAUCAUAUCAGGCAAACAGCAGCUCGUGUACCUGCAUUUGUCCAACAACGAUCGGUUCCUGAGCCACGACGGCAACACCAACCUGGAGCCCUUCUUUGCCGCGGUAUCCAAUUGCUCCCAGAUACUGGAGAUAGAGGCCGGCGCUUUGGGGAUUGGCGGGCUGCUGCCGAGCCUGUUAGGCUCGAUGCUCCCGCCCAACAUGUCGCACCUCAACCUGGAGCUCAACAAGAUCGAGGGCCCGAUUCCAGCCGACAUCGGGGAUGUGAUAAACAUCACGCUGAUGAACCUGUCCAGCAAUCAGCUGAACGGGACUGUCCCGGCGUCCAUCUGUGCAUUGCCAAAGCUCGAGCGCCUCUCCCUUUCCAACAACAACCUGACGGGCGAGAUCCCCGCAUGCAUAGGCAACGCCACAAGGCUCGGCGAGCUUGACCUAUCGGGCAAUGCACUGUCAGGGAGCAUCCCUAGCGGAAUCGGGACCCAGCUUGAAAACCUCUACCUGCAGAGCAACCGCCUUUCCGGGGCGAUACCAGCAACCCGCCUCGCGGAGUGCAUCCGCCUGCUGCACCUUGAUCUCUCUGACAACCGCCUGACUGGCGAGAUACCAGACAAGGUCUCCGGGACAGGCAUCGUAUCUCUGAACCUGUCAUGCAACCGGAUCAGCGGUGAGCUGCCACGGGGGCUCGGCGACAUGCAGCUGGUGCAAGUGAUUGACCUUUCCUGGAACAACUUCACCGGCCCGAUCUCCCCGCAGCUCGCGGUGGGCUGCCCUGAGCUGGAGGUCCUUGACCUGUCACACAACUCGCUUAGGGGCGACCUACCGUUGUCCCUUGACCUCCUCAAAGAUCUCCAAAACCUGGACGUCUCCGACAACUCCCUGACCGGCCAGAUCCCUGUGAACCUGACGAAAUGCACCAGCCUGAAACAUGUCAACCUGUCGUACAACAACUUCAUCGGGGAUGUGCCCACCACUGGCAUCUUCGCGAGCUUCACCUACCUGUCCUACAUCGGCAACCCAGGGCUCUGCGGCUCGGUGGUCAGGCGCAACUGCCAAAGACACCCCCAGUGGUACCAGUCCCGGAAGUACUUGGUGGUGAUGAGCGUAUGUGCGGCCGUGCUGGCAUUCGUGUUGACAAUCCUGUGUGCAGUCAGUUUCUGGAAGAUCCGUGAUCGGCUCGCAGCGAUGCGAGAGGACAUGUUCAGGGGCCGACGCAGCGGAGGCUCAUCGCCAGUGGUGAAGUACAAGUACCCGCGGGUCACGUACCAGGAACUGGUUGAGGCGACGGAGGAGUUCAGCACGGACCGGCUCGUCGGGACGGGCAGUUACGGUCGGGUGUACCGUGGCACACUGCGUGAUGGCACCAUGGUUGCCGUGAAGGUGCUGCAGCUCCAGUCAGGGAACUCGACCAGGAGCUUCAACCGCGAGUGCCAGGUCCUGAAGCGCAUCCGGCACCGGAACCUCAUGCGGAUCAUCACGGCGUGCAGCCUGGCGGACUUCAAGGCGCUGGUUCUGCCGUUCAUGGCGAAUGGCAGCCUCGAGCGGUGUCUCUACGCGGGGCCGCCUGCCGAGCUCAGCCUGGUGCAGCGUGUCAACAUCUGCAGCGACAUAGCCGAAGGGAUGGCCUACCUGCACCACCACUCGCCGGUCAAGGUCAUCCAUUGCGACCUCAAACCGAGCAAUGUCCUCAUCAACGACGACAUGACCGCGCUCGUCUCCGACUUCGGCAUCUCCCGGCUGGUCAUGAGCGUCAGCGGGGUGUCCAACACUGCCGACGUGGGCGCCUCCACGGCCAACAUGCUGUGUGGCUCUAUCGGAUACAUUCCUCCAGAGUACGGCUACGGCUCCAACCCGACAACAAAGGGCGACGUGUACAGCUUCGGCGUGCUGGUGAUGGAGAUGGUAACAAAGAAGAAGCCGACCGACGACAUGUUUGAUGCCGGGCUGAGCCUGCACAAGUGGGUCAAGAGCCACUACCACGGCCAGGCCCACGCUGUGGUCGACCAGGUGCUGGCCGGCAUGGUACUGGACCAGACACCUGAGGUGAGGAGGAUGUGGGACGUUGCCAUCGGCGAGCUGCUGGAGCUUGGCAUCCUCUGCACCCAGGAGAGCGCGUCCACGCGGCCGACCAUGAUAGACGCCGCCGACGACCUGGACCGGCUCAAACGGUACCUCGGCGGCGACACGACGGUUACAUUCGCGUCCUCGCUGGGCUUCUCAUCCACGAUUGUUGAAGAUAUUGAUGACUAGCUGGUAGUAGCAAAGAUUGUGAAUGCAUAGCUAGGUAUUUGUGCGAUUCUGACAGGAAUAGAUGGUCUCUUCUGAAUAUGCAGGAUUCAUUCGGCUGUUGCGGAAAGGGCUCGCUGAAGAUCGUCUACGGUGAAGUUGGAGUCGUCACUCGUCAGUUCGGGAGGAUUGAUUUGUGAUGGGAUGACGCUUGCAGGCAACCUAGGUGGUGGUGUUCUGCUCGGCGGCAUGCUUUGAGUGCAGGUUGGUAGCCAGAUUGGCCAAGGGUGUCGGGUGUCAUGUUCCAUGACGGCGGUUUGUCUGCUCGUUGUGACGGUUUUCAACCCGUUUUUCACUAAUUAACCGGACAAUCCUCUUCAGAUUAAUUAAUAGAUUGAGUUCUCCUUACCAUCUACUUAACUUGUAAUGUAUAUGUCUUUAUAAAAGGAUCAUGAUGAUGCAUAACCA